This is a non-coding RNA of Clostridium baratii str. Sullivan, 337 nucleotides long. It matches the Rfam family "transfer-messenger RNA". Rfam says of the family: Bacterial tmRNA, also known as 10Sa RNA or SsrA, is named for its dual tRNA and mRNA-like properties. NCBI's taxonomy places the organism in Bacteria, Bacillati, Bacillota, Clostridia, Eubacteriales, Clostridiaceae. The record is from Rfam.
UUUGGCUUCGACGGGGGUAAGUGAGGUUUGGUAAGCGAGCCGAGGGAAGCAUGGUGCCUCGAUAAUAAAGUAUGCAUUAAAGAUAAACGCAGAAGACAAUUUUGCAUUAGCAGCUUAAUAUAGACUGCUCAUCAGCCCUAGAUUGCCCACGGUCUAGGAUCCUGGUGUCAUUAUUAGUGGGGAACCGAGCUUAGCAAAGCUUUGAGCUAGGAACGGAACUUAUGAAGCUAGCGAUCUAGUUACCUGUCUGUAGGUGUUCUAGAAAGCGAAUUUUAAUAUACAGACUACGCUCGUAGAAAGCCGGACGGAGCUACUUUCGGACAGGGGUUCGAUUCUU